GACGAACGCUGGCGGCGUGCUUAACACAUGCAAGUCGAACGGAAAGGCCUCUUUCGGGGGGUACUCGAGUGGCGAACGGGCGAGUAACACGUGAGUAACCUGCCCUUGACUUUGGGAUAACUUCAGGAAACUGGGGCUAAUACCGGAUAGGAGCUCCUGCUGCAUGGUGGGGGUUGGAAAGUUUCGGCGGUUGGGGAUGGACUCGCGGCUUAUCAGCUUGUUGGUGGGGUAGUGGCUUACCAAGGCUUUGACGGGUAGCCGGCCUGAGAGGGUGACCGGCCACAUUGGGACUGAGAUACGGCCCCGACUCCUACGGGAGGCAGCAGUGGGGAAUAUUGCACAAUGGGUGGAAGCCUGAUGCAGCAACGCCGUGUGCGGGAUGACGGCCUUCGGGUUGUAAACCGCUUUCGCUCAUGACGAAGCUUUGUGUGACGGUAGUGGGUAAAGAAGCACCGGCUAACUACGUG
RNAcentral lists this ribosomal RNA (467 nucleotides) under uncultured bacterium. RNAcentral describes it as "partial 16S ribosomal RNA". It matches the Rfam family "Bacterial small subunit ribosomal RNA", at positions 28 to 507 of the family's 1533-position model. The record is from RNAcentral.